RNAcentral lists this ribosomal RNA (440 nucleotides) under uncultured bacterium. RNAcentral's name for it is "partial 16S ribosomal RNA". It matches the Rfam family "Bacterial small subunit ribosomal RNA", at positions 338 to 795 of the family's 1533-position model. The record is from RNAcentral.
CCUACGGGAGGCUGCAGUGGGGGAUAUUGCACAAUGGGGGAAACCCUGAUGCAGCGACGCCGCGUGUGGGAAGACGGUCCUCUGGAUUGUAAACCACUGUCCCCAGGGACGAAGAUGACGGUACCUGGGGAGGAAGCCCCGGCGAACUACGUGCCAGCAGCCGCGGUAAUACGUAGGGAGCGAGCGUUGUCCGGAAUUACUGGGUGAAAAGGGAGCGUAGGCGGGACUGCAAGUUGGGUGUCAAAUCUACCGGCUCAACCGGUAGCCGCACUCAAAACUGCAGUUCUUGAGUGAAGUAGAGGCAGGCGGAAUUCCUAGUGUAGCGGUGAAAUGCGUAGAUAUUAGGAGGAACACCAGUGGCGAAGGCGGCCUGCUGGGCUUUUACUGACGCUGAGGCUCGAAAGUGUGGGGAGCAAACAGGAUUAGAUACCCGAGUAGUC